Long non-coding RNA from Hyla sarda, 464 nucleotides. RefSeq lists it as uncharacterized. The transcript is spliced from 2 exons. Lineage: Eukaryota; Metazoa; Chordata; Amphibia; Anura; Hylidae. The record is from RefSeq and is a predicted model, not a curated record.
CAGCACUGAGCAGAUAUAACACUGCUCCUGCUCAUUCUUCAUCAGUGAGGGGCUGAUGCUGGACACUGUAGGGGCCGAGAAUGCAAAGUCACAUACACUACUGUGACUGAUGCACUAUUUCCAGGAUGUGGAGUAGCAUUUCCGGACCUACAGCAAGACGUUGGAUGAAGACGUAGAUUUCCAGACCUAUUCCAGAAGAAUUUGGAUGAAGGCACAGCCCCUCGAAUCACGCACAUACACAGACACAUUUGGCCAAAUUCUAGAGGUAAUCUCCUUUAGUAUGCCCAGAGGAAGGGCAAUACAGUAGCCAUGGAUUCCCUACAGGUUUCCUCCCCUCUGGAGGUUUUUCCUGUCCUGAGUAUUAGUUACUGUACGCUCUUUGUGAGUGAUGGAGGUUACAAAAAAUCCCCGACACAAACAUUUUUAUAUAUAAUAAAUAAAGUUCCCCUUUUUAAACCAUUUAA